Molecule: unclassified non-coding RNA, 154 nt
Filed under: uncultured Clavariaceae
Lineage: Eukaryota; Fungi; Basidiomycota; Agaricomycetes; Agaricales; Clavariaceae
Description: sequence contains ITS1
Source: RNAcentral
UUGAAUCCUUAGGAUGUUGCUGGUCCCUAGGGGCAUGUGCACUCCGCCUUUCAAUACACCUGUGAACUCAUUGUAGGUAACAAAGUCUUUGUUACCUAUGUUUUUUAAACACCCAAAUUGUAUACUGAAUGUAAUGAUGUUGGCAAACUUAAUA